GACGAACGCUGGCGGCGUGCUUAACACAUGCAAGUCGAACGGAAGGGCCCUGCUUUUGUGGGGUGCUCGAGUGGCGAACGGGUGAGUAACACGUGAGUAACCUGCCCUUGACUUUGGGAUAACUUCAGGAAACUGGGGCUAAUACCGGAUAGGAGCUCCUGCUGCAUGGUGGGGGUUGGAAAGUUUCGGCGGUUGGGGAUGGACUCGCGGCUUAUCAGCUUGUUGGUGGGGUAGUGGCUUACCAAGGCUUUGACGGGUAGCCGGCCUGAGGGGGUGACCGGCCACAUUGGGACUGAGAUACGGCCCAGACUCCUACGGGAGGCAGCAGUGGGGAAUAUUGCACAAUGGGCGGAAGCCUGAUGCAGCAACGCCGCGUGCGGGAUGACGGCCUUCGGGUUGUAAACCGCUUUCGCCUGUGACGAAGCGUGAGUGACGGUAAUGGGUAAAGAAGCACCGGCUAACUACGUG
Molecule: ribosomal RNA, 468 nt
Filed under: uncultured bacterium
Lineage: Bacteria
Description: partial 16S ribosomal RNA
Rfam family: Bacterial small subunit ribosomal RNA
Source: RNAcentral